RNAcentral lists this ribosomal RNA (369 nucleotides) under Desulfovibrio desulfuricans. RNAcentral describes it as "bacterial SSU rRNA". It matches the Rfam family "Bacterial small subunit ribosomal RNA", at positions 380 to 765 of the family's 1533-position model. The record is from RNAcentral. Lineage: Bacteria; Pseudomonadati; Thermodesulfobacteriota; Desulfovibrionia; Desulfovibrionales; Desulfovibrionaceae.
AGCCUGACCCAGCAACGCCGCGUGUAUGAUGAAGGCCUUCGGGUCGUAAAAUACUUUUCAGGGAGAAGAGAAAGGACUGUACCCCUGGAAUAAGUCUCGGCUAACUACGUGCCAGCAGCCGCGGUAAAACGUAGGAGGCGAGCGUUAUCCGGAUUUACUGGGUGUAAAGCGCGUGCAGGCGGUUUGAUAAGUUGGAUGUGAAAGCUCCUGGCUCAACUGGGAGAGGUCGUUCAAAACUAUCAGACUUGAGAGUGGUAGNNNAAAGUGGAAUUCCCGGUNUAGUGGUGAAAUGCGUAGAUAUCGGGAGGAACACCAGUGGCGAAGGCGGCUUUCUGGACCAUUUCUGACGCUCAGACGCGAAAGCUAGGG